GCGACCCCAGGAUGGGCGAGGCCACCCGCCGAGUU
RNAcentral lists this ribosomal RNA (35 nucleotides) under Thunia alba. RNAcentral describes it as "partial 26S ribosomal RNA". The record is from RNAcentral. Lineage: Eukaryota; Viridiplantae; Streptophyta; Magnoliopsida; Asparagales; Orchidaceae. RNAcentral also lists the same sequence under 8 other names.